Molecule: ribosomal RNA, 253 nt
Filed under: uncultured bacterium
Lineage: Bacteria
Description: partial 16S ribosomal RNA
Rfam family: Bacterial small subunit ribosomal RNA
Source: RNAcentral
UACAGAGGGUGCGAGCGUUAAUCGGAAUUACUGGGCGUAAAGGGCGCGUAGGCGGUUAUAUAAGUUAGAUGUGAAAUCCCUGGGCUUAACCUAGGAACUGCAUCUAAGACUGUAUAACUGGAGUGCAGUAGAGGGUAGUGGAAUUUCCGGUGUAGCGGCGAAAUGCGUAGAUAUCGGAAGGAACACCAGUGGCGAAGGCGGCUACCUGGACUGACACUGACGCUGAGGCGCGAGAGCGUGGGGAGCAAACAGG